CCAAUAUGUCAAAGACUUUGUGUCAUGGUGCCUCUGUCAGUCUCCUCCCCCUCUCCACUCUCCCCUCCUCUCCACCUGGCUGCUGAUCAUCCCCAGCUGCAACCACUCAUCUCGUCUCCUCACCUGCCUACUUAAGGAGCUCCAGGACCUUCAUUCCCCGCCAGUCCGUUGCCCCUGAUGGAAUCUCCUACCUCGAGUGGUUGCAUGUUUUUCCCCACUUCCGGAUCUCCAGUCGGGUCUCCUUCCACGGUCACACCACGAGCCUCUGCCUCUGCUUCACGUUCCUGCGUCCAAGACGGCCAUCUCCCUCUUGGAGGACAAGAUCGCCUACUACGCCUCCAACCUCUGCCUCCUGCUCGGAGCCUGCUUCCUGUCCUGUUCAGGACCCAACCUUCUCACCACAUUAUUAAAAUUAUUGCCUUCCA
Long non-coding RNA from Oryzias melastigma (Indian medaka), 425 nucleotides. RefSeq lists it as uncharacterized. The transcript is spliced from 2 exons. Lineage: Eukaryota; Metazoa; Chordata; Actinopteri; Beloniformes; Adrianichthyidae. The record is from RefSeq and is a predicted model, not a curated record.